Molecule: long non-coding RNA, 422 nt
Organism: Alligator mississippiensis (American alligator)
Lineage: Eukaryota; Metazoa; Chordata; Crocodylia; Alligatoridae
Exons: 4
Source: RefSeq, a predicted model, not a curated record
CCUGCCAGCAGUCUGGGAGGUAGGAGCGUCUGGAGCGAGGUUGCAGAGAGGAGCCUAAGAGACCUGGCAGGUGCAGCAUCAGUUAGAUCCAAGAAGCGCAUUGUGUAGAAAGCCCUCUCCCUUUCUCAAAGCUGGUACUGUCCUCUGCCAGGAGGAGGAAGAGAAGGAGCUCUUGCCUUUGCCCUUACGCUGGUUAGGUUUGGGGGAUUCCCCUAGCCUGUGAGAUCACUCUCAUCUCAUUGGCUGCUCCUGAUUGGAAGCUGCCAGUAUGGCAUCCCACUCAGGCUUGCAGAAGUGACGUCAGCAAGCAUUGAUGUUCCAUUUGGCCCUGACUAUGCUAGACCCACCCGGAGAAGAUAGAAGCUAAGUGUGGACUUUUCUUGAAGUAUCAAAAGCUCUAUGUAUACAGUGUUUUAUUAAUA